Molecule: long non-coding RNA, 5660 nt
Organism: Acinonyx jubatus (cheetah)
Lineage: Eukaryota; Metazoa; Chordata; Mammalia; Carnivora; Felidae
Exons: 5
Source: RefSeq, a predicted model, not a curated record
GGCAGGGGUGGGUGGGGUGUAUAUACACACCCUACCGCCUUACCACUUGUCAAUUGCAAAUCCAACCGGAAGAGAGGACCUUGCAGGGAGAUCCUACUGGACUCUCCCCCUGGAGGAAAAAAGGCUUACCUCCUUUCCCGCCGGCGACAGCCCAGCCAAUGGGAGGCCACUAUACUUCCCACCCCCCAGUUUGCUCCAAUGGGCUUGCUCGUAACAGCCUUCCCAACUUCCCCUUUCUUCUAUAAGAGACCAUACCUCUCUGUUCUGGCACUUGCCUGUGGUUUUGCUAUAGGUAGCUUAUCUUGGCUCGCCGUUCUUUGCUAUUUCCAAACAAAUCCACCUUUUGCUGGUAAAAUAACUGGCACUUGUAUUUUUUAUUAAAUAAUUUUUUUAAAUGUUUACUUAUAUUUGAGAGAGAGUGUGAAUGAAGGAGGGGCAGAGAGAGGGAGACAGAAUCCAAAGCAGGCUCCAUCCAGGUCCUGAGCUGGCAGUGCAGAGCCUGACGCAGGCCUCGAACCCACCGACCGUGACCUGAGUGGAAGUCGGACACUCAGUCUACUGAGACACCCAGUUCCUGAACUCUUCGGCUUUCAUGGCGAUAAUAGUCACUUCGGACUUGCCCAGCCUUCAGGACACCUUCACUGCGCUUUAGCAGUCCCGCAAGACCUCACACCCAGCAUGGAGCCCAAAACAGGGCUCAAACUCACGAAGCUGAGAUCAACACCUCAGCUGAGAUCAAGAGUCAGAUGUUUAACCAACUGUGUCACCCAGACCCCCCAUUGUGUACAGCUAUCCUAAGGAGGGACAAACAGGAGGACCCCAGGAUAAGGGAGCCGACAAGAGCUGCGAGCAGACUCCACAUGUAGUGUGGAGCCCGACUCUGUAUCACGACCCUGGGAUCAUCACCUGAGCCGAAAUCAAGAGUCAGACUCUCAACCUACUGAGCCACCAGAUGUCAGUGUUUUGGAAGCGUUCACAGAAACAGAGGGAACCUGCAUCCCAGCUAUCAACGACACUGAGGAAGUGUCCUUCUGUUGAAUCAAGGUAGCCAUCUUUCUUUUUUGGGUACAUUCUCUCUGCCAGACUUUCUGCUAAAGGCUUGAUAUGCAUCAUCGUGUUUUAUAAUUAUUACAAUCCUUUUGGGCUAAUUACCAUUUGCAAAUAAGGAAAUUGAGGCUCCGUCUGGUUAAAUAACUUGACCACUGUCACAUAGCUCAUUUCCACUUGACACAGAAGAAAAGGCCCGUUAUUCAUUUAUUCAUUCCACAAAUUUCUCCUUGAGAUACUUACUGUGUGCAAGAUAGAAAUUGCCAAAAUCUCACCACCUGGUUUCUGUCAGACUUAGCUUCAUUUCUUUCUAAUUUGUUCAGCCAGCCUAAGAGCUCCUAGACAGAUAGGUAUUAACGUUAUUUUGAAAAGCCUCCAGGGAAGAAAGUUUCCUAUGUUCUCUUGGUAACUGAAGUUUCCCAGAACUUCCAAGGACUUCUUAAGGCUAACCUAAGACCCUCUCGCAACAACCGAAGCCAACUCCUUAUGAGGAGAUGGGGCACAACCACAGCCGAAGGGAAGUCUUUGAGAACAACCUGUCCUAGGAGGAAGGUAGACACAGUGAGAUGGGGCCACAGGGUCAAAGAAUAUUAGUGCUCUCUGGGACCUUAGAGGCUAAAGACUGUAAUUUCCUAUUUUACAGGAAAGAAAAUGAACCUAGGGAGAAUGAACGAUUUCCCCAGAUUACUGAGCUAUUUAAUGGCUGAGCUAGAACCAGAGUCUGAGGCUGCUUGUUUCCAGGGGGGUAGGACAUUGUGAUUGAAAGCUAAAGGUUUGGGAGUGCCCGGGGGGCUCAGUUGGUUAAGCGGUCCUACUCUUGUUUCGGCUCAGGUCAAGAUCGCAUGAGAUCAAGAUUCGUGAGAUCAAGCCCUGUGUCGGGCUUUGCGCUGACAGCGCAGAGCCUGCUUGGGAUUCUCUCGCUCUCCCUCUCUCUCUCUGCCCUUCCCCCCACUCAUGCCCACCCUGUCUCAAAAUAAAUAAAUAAACAUUAAAAAAUAAAAAGAAAGCUGAAAUUGGGAAGUGGGCUGGUUGCUUGCAUUCCCUAGCUGUAGGACUAAGGCAGGUUUUGCAGUCUUAUAUACUUGGGGCCUCGGUCUUGUCAUCUGUAAAAUGGAGUUGAUAUGUACCUCCUGGAGGUAUUAUGAGGGUUAAAUGAGAUCAUCUAUGUGAGUCCCCGAAGUGUACUAGUCUCAGGUAUAGAAUGAGGGGCUAGGUUAAUAUUCCUUUCCCUACCCUGGACCCAGUCUUUUAUUUACUAUAUUCGUUAAUGUAACAAGUCACACCAACUCUCGCUGGCUUGGGACAGCAAUAAUUAUUUAUUACCUCUAACCGAUACUUUUGGGCAGGAAUUUGGCAGCUGCUUGACUGGGUGGCUCUGAGGUCUCAUAAGUUUCCAGUCCGAUGUCAGCUGGGGCUGCAUCAUCUGAGGGCUUGACCGAGGCCGGAAUAUUCAGCAUGAAGGUGUCUUGCUCUUAUGGCUGGCGGUCUCAAUUCCAGACCAUGUGGGCCCCUCCACAGGGCUUCUUGAGGGUCCUCACUACAUGGUACCAAGGGGCCCAAAGUGGAAUCUGCAAAUGCUAUUUGUCAUCCAGCUCUGGAAAUCACACACUUCCGUUGUGUUCCAUUGGCCACGCAGGGCCAGCUCUGAUUCACUGAGGGAGGGGGCCACACAAGGGCACAAAUACCAGGGGGUGAGGAUCACUGGGGGCUGGCUGGCACACUGUCUCACGGACGAGGUUCUAUUUCUGUGCCCUCUUACCUUCCUGUGUCCUGAGUGUUGAUACGUUUCAAUAAUCACUCCUGGCUUCUCAGGGCUGACAGGGGCUGUGCCCCCCUUAGCGUCUUCUGGAGUUCUGAGGAUGCUGUUUAUAAUUAGCCAAGCAAUAAUCCCCACCGCUGAGCCAACUCCAAGGCUCAUCUGCUUGCUUCUCUGGAGGUUUUUAAAUAGACAGGGAUGUGUUAAUGACACAGUACAUUAUCUGUCUGUUACCGUUUUGGCAGGCAGCGUGGAAACGUGACUUUUUUAAGGAGGAGUUAAUCAGUAUUUAAAAAGCAGCUCCUGUGGCAGAGGCAUGAAGCAGGUAUCAAAAGGCUGCCUGGGAAGGCUGAGGUUUCAGAACCCUGGGCCCUGACAUCAUGCCCUUUGAGUGGCUAGUGGGCAUGACCAGCUGGGCUCAUUACUACUGACAUCUCCCCGCUUCCUCUGCACUUGGAAUACAUUGAAUCUGCUCCCAAACUCAGCAACAUCCUCACAGAGGAAGCCUGUGAAGUGUGAUCGCUGCUUCUCUGCUGAUAGUUCUCGAAUCUAUUUGCCCUGCCUCCUACCAAACCUAGCUCCUGAGCUCUGGAACACCUACUGCUCAUUUUCGUUUGGAUGUUCCCCAAGUGCGCCGAAAACCGGACUCCUAACUUCCUUCCCACCCAACCUCAUGGGUCCUCCUGUUUGCUACCUCAGUGAAUGGCACCUUCGUUCUCCCUCUGGACCAAGCCAGACCCCAGAUGGUAUGGGACGAUGGUUAGGAGGGAAGGGCAGGGGGAUGGGAGCCUGAAUGCCUGGGCUGAGUCUCAACACUGCCGUUCACAAGUUGGGUGGUCUCAAUUUGUUCCACCUGACGUCCGGAUUUAAAACUGGAGAUAAUGAUAGAAACAAUCCAGGAGGAUUGUUGGGGGGGAGUAAAUGAGCUAGUUCAUGCCUGGCAUACAGCAAGAGCUCAAUAAAUGCUGUAAGAAUCAUUAAGCUCCUUGUGUUCUCUCUCCUAAAUGUUUCCUGAAACCAUCAGCAUUUUUACUUUUGCCAUCUGUCAGCUUGGGUCCCCGUCCUGGCUCAAUGGGGCAAAGGCUUCCUGCUGCGAUCUCCGCCGCCAGGGAGAUAUUUCAAAAGUACAUAUGCGAGUGACAGCAUGUCCCUGCUUAACCGCAACUCCCUUUACUCUUAGGAGUUGGGGGCAAAUCCCUUACGUGGCUCAAAGGUUGUGCAGGCGUUGCGUCUGCCUGCCUCUUCAGCCACGUCUCCCCCUCCUCCUACUGAGCUUUCAGUCCCUCUGAUGGACCCCACCGUCUCUUAUCUACAGGUCUCACACAUGUUUUUCCCUCUUCAAAGGAACAUUACCCGGUUGAGCCCCUUCUCAGCAUUCACUAUGGAUCUUAUUGUUGAAGAAGAAAGGGAGAGGCAGGUAGAGGUGAAGCAGAUCAAGGUGUCUCAUCUCUUCUUUUCAAACUACUCCUAGAACUUCAAUAGACCCCACGGAUGGGGAGGCAGUGUUGGCCUCCCAGGUAUCAGUGGUUUGAAGAGCUGUGGAUGGAGGUUCUGAAGGCUGGAGCUUGAGAGUUCCCAGGUGUGUCCUGUGACACCUCCAGUCGUGCCUCGUUGCCUAGCCCUCAGUGCCCUUGAUCUUUUAAUCCCAGUGACACAUUGCUCCGUUGGGAAAUUGCAAACGUGGACUUGGCCAGCCUCCCUCCACAUCCUCCGUCGGUGAUGCUGGCUAAUCUUCCCUCCUCUCCCUCCAUGGAUUAAACUUCGUUGAACAUACCUGUCACCCGGCAGAGAUCAGGCUCACCUCCAUAUGCUCGUUGCCUAUGGAGUGGUGGCAGCUUAGCAAAUAUAUGUCGGGUUAAUAUAUGAAGGGGUUGCUCCAAUUUUCAAGUAUCAUCUAUAUGUUAUGAGUAUCCUAAGGGCUACCAAAGGCUUCCUCUUUGCUAACCAUUUACUCUUAUUUUCAGGAGUAGGUGCAUUAAUCAGAUUCUUAGCUUGAAUAUGUUUGGUACUUCUUUGAAAAAAAAAAAAAAGAACACAGAAUUCCUGUUAUGGCCCCAUAAAUAUUUUUUGAGCAUUUCAUAUGUACCAGGAGAUGCUGGAGAUCCAAAGGUGAAUAUGACGUAGUCCCAGCUUCUCAUUAUCCUGGAUUCGUCAGCCAGGAGUUAAUAAGGUGUUGAAAAAACAUUUGUUGGGCAGAAGACAUGAAUCGACACUUCUCUAAAGAAGACAUCCAGAUGGCCAACAGGCACAUGAAAAGAUGCUCAACGUCGCUCCUCAUCAGGGAAAUACAAAUCAAAACCACACUCAGAUAUCACCUCACGCCAGUCGGAGUGGCCAAAAUGAACAAAUCAGGAGACUGCAGAUGCUGGCGAGGAUGUGGAGAAACGGGAACCCUCCUGCACUGUUGGUGGGAAUGCAAACUGGUGCAGCCACUCUGGAAAACAGUGUGGAGUUUCCUCAAAAAAUUAAAAAUAGAUUUACCCUAUGACCCGGCAAUAGCACUGCUAGGAAUUUACCCAAGGGAUACAGGAGUGCUGACGCAUAGGGGCACUUGUACCCCAAUGUUUGUAGCAGCACUCUCAACAAUAGCCAAAUUGUGGAAAGAGCCUAAAUGUCCAUCAACUGACGAAUGGAUAAAGAAGUUGUGGUUUAUAUAUACAAUGGAGUACUACUUGGCAAUGAGAAAGAAUGAAAUAUGGCCUUUUGUAGCAACGUGGAUGGAAAUGGAGAGUGUUUUGCUAAGUGAAAUAAGUCAUACAGAGAAAGACAGAUACCAUAUGUUUUCACUCUUAUGUGGAUCCUGAGAAACUUAACAGAAGACCAUGGGGGAGGGGAAGAGGGAAAAAAUUACAGAGAG